GGACAGAGACGCGCAGGGGAGAGAGGCCGGCGGGCGACCGCGACGGAGACGGAGACCCCGCGGGCAGAGGGCGAGCGGGGCCGCAGGAGGCAGGGAGGCCGGGAGAGGGACCGGGACGCGAGCGCGGCGGAGACCCCGGCGGCAGGAGAGAGACGCGAGAGCGGUCGGGGAGGUGGCGACAGAGCCCGGCCGGCGGGGGCGGGGAGGGCGACCCCAGGCCGGGAGGCCG
This 229-nucleotide long non-coding RNA is filed under the name Homo sapiens (human). RNAcentral's name for it is "HSALNT0406055". Lineage: Eukaryota; Metazoa; Chordata; Mammalia; Primates; Hominidae. The record is from RNAcentral.